This 219-nucleotide long non-coding RNA is filed under the name Anas platyrhynchos platyrhynchos (common mallard). Its description in RNAcentral is "lncRNA (ENSAPLG00000024282.1)". Lineage: Eukaryota; Metazoa; Chordata; Aves; Anseriformes; Anatidae. The record is from RNAcentral.
AGGGAUUGCUGAGUCUGAACAUCACUUCUGCUAAGCUUGGAGCAGCACUGAAGCUAUUUUAAACAAGGAGAAGUGCAAGACUUGGAACCCUCUGUGGGGGAGAAGACGGGAAUGCUACUCGCUGCAUUUCUCAGCUUAACUCGCAGGGCUGAGUGUUUAACUCCUUGAAGAACACUUCGACAAUUAACAUACAGACUACCUCUUUCCAGGCCCACUGGU